UACGUAGGGUGCGAGCGUUAAUCGGAAUUACUGGGCGUAAAGCGUGCGCAGGCGGUUUUGUAAGCCAGAUGUGAAAUCCCCGGGCUAACCUGGGAAUGGCAUUUGGGACUGCAAGGCUUGAGUGCGGCAGAGGAGACUGGAAUUCCUGGUGUAGCAGUGAAAUGCGUAGAUAUCAGGAGGAACACCGAUGGCGAAGGCAGGUCUCGUGGGCAUGACA
RNAcentral lists this ribosomal RNA (217 nucleotides) under uncultured bacterium. Its description in RNAcentral is "partial 16S ribosomal RNA". It matches the Rfam family "Bacterial small subunit ribosomal RNA", at positions 524 to 741 of the family's 1533-position model. The record is from RNAcentral.